RNAcentral lists this transfer RNA (75 nucleotides) under Lachnospiraceae bacterium. Its description in RNAcentral is "tRNA-Glu". It matches the Rfam family "tRNA". From Rfam's summary of the family: Transfer RNA (tRNA) molecules are approximately 80 nucleotides in length. Their secondary structure includes four short double-helical elements and three loops (D, anti-codon, and T loops). The record is from RNAcentral. RNAcentral also lists the same sequence under 3 other names. Lineage: Bacteria; Bacillati; Bacillota; Clostridia; Lachnospirales; Lachnospiraceae.
GGCGCAUUGGUCAAGAGGUCAAGACGUCGCCCUCUCACGGCGGAAUCCAGGGUUCGAUUCCCUGAUGCGCUACCA